RNAcentral lists this ribosomal RNA (253 nucleotides) under Blautia obeum. RNAcentral describes it as "partial 16S ribosomal RNA". It matches the Rfam family "Bacterial small subunit ribosomal RNA", at positions 524 to 776 of the family's 1533-position model. Lineage: Bacteria; Bacillati; Bacillota; Clostridia; Lachnospirales; Lachnospiraceae. The record is from RNAcentral.
UACGUAGGGGGCAAGCGUUAUCCGGAUUUACUGGGUGUAAAGGGAGCGUAGACGGACUGGCAAGUCUGAUGUGAAAGGCGGGGGCUCAACCCUUGGACUGCAUUGGAAACUGUUAGUCUUGAGUGCCGGAGAGGUAAGCGGAAUUCCUAGUGUAGCGGUGAAAUGCGUAGAUAUUAGGAGGAACACCAGUGGCGAAGGCGGCUUACUGGACGGUAACUGACGUUGAGGCUCGAAAGCGUGGGGAGCAAACAGG